CACCACAACAGGUGGAGCCUGCGGUUAAUCGGACUCAACGCCGGGAAACUCACCAGAUAAGACAGCUGAAUGAUAGUCGGGCUGAAGACUCUACUUGACUAGCUGAGAGGAGGUGCAUGGCCGUCGUCAGUUCGUACUGUGAAGCAUCCUGUUAAGUCAGGCAACGAGCGAGACCCACGCCAACAGUUGCCAGCUCGUCCUCCGGGAUGGUGGGGACACUGUUGGGACCGCCUCUGCUAAAGAGGAGGAAGGAAUGGGCAACGGUAGGUCAGCAUGCCCCGAAUUAUCUGGGCUACACGCGGGCUGCAAUGGGUGGGACAAUGGGUAUCGACACCGAAAGGUGAAGGCAAUCUCCUAAACCCAUCCGUAGUUCGGAUUGUGGGCUGCAACUCGCCCACAUGAAGCUGGAAUCUGUAGUAAUCGUGUCUCAAAAUGGCACGGUGAAUAUGUCCCUGCUCCUU
This 461-nucleotide ribosomal RNA is filed under the name uncultured Methanomicrobiales archaeon. RNAcentral's name for it is "bacterial SSU rRNA". It matches the Rfam family "Archaeal small subunit ribosomal RNA", at positions 877 to 1338 of the family's 1478-position model. Lineage: Archaea; Methanobacteriati; Methanobacteriota; Methanomicrobia; Methanomicrobiales. The record is from RNAcentral.